Molecule: long non-coding RNA, 1003 nt
Filed under: Camarhynchus parvulus
Lineage: Eukaryota; Metazoa; Chordata; Aves; Passeriformes; Thraupidae
Description: lncRNA (ENSCPVG00000007848.2)
Source: RNAcentral
UCCAUAUCUCACAUUCCUUAUGGCAGCCAUUAGCUGCUGUGAGCUGUGAUCAGUGCGUGCAGCCCUGCUGCGACUGGGGGAACUUAAUCCGCCUGGUUUGCAAAGCAGUGACAUUUCUGACUAUUACCUAAACAUUUUUCCUUAUCUCUAUUUCACCCAGAAAUGCAAAAUCCAGCUGUGGAUGGAACAUCCAGGAAAAGGGGUGGCUCUGUGUCCCUGUGUGCUCUGGGCUCUGCCAGCAGAAGGACCAGGGGAAUGACAUCAGUACCAGAUCCAUCCCCAGCAUCUCUGAAUUCCAACUUUGUACCUCAAAGUGCCUGAAACCCCCAAGUUUUAUAGCAGCAAAUUUACUACUGGGUAUAAGUGACCAGGUAUGUUUUGUUAUUGCUGGUGUCACUACUGCACCCUGCACAAUCCCUGUCUAAGGGCCUGAUUCUGACCUGUGUCCCCUGGCUGGGAUCAAGCUCCCUUCCCAGCCUUUUCCAGCUUCUCCUGAUGUACCCUGACUGCUGCCAGUCCAGGGGUCCCUUGCACAAGGAUCUCACCCCAAAAAUACCAUGUGAUAUCACUGCUGGGCUAAUUCAGCAAUUUUAAGUCAUGCUAAUUAUUUGUAAAUAAUCCUUUGAUGUUUUCUUUGUGGAUUUUUAGGUUUUUAGGGCCAAAUCCUGCGUUUUUGGCUUCUCCCAGAAGCCUGGGCACAAAGCAUCUGACUGCAGCUGGGAAUUCAUCACCUCUCUCCCUGGACAUGCAAAUUUUACUGGAACUCCUUCAGCUAAGUCCUGUGUGCCCCCGUGCCUUAGCAGGGAGUGGUGACAGCUCAUCGUGCAGGCUGGAAUUCCAGGGAAUCCUGCAGCCCCCUGGGAAGCUGCUGCCCAGGAAGGGGCUGGGGAUGCUGACUGCUUGUGACAAGUCUUGCCUGGGAGAAAACCAACACGGCAGCGGUUGGAAACCUGAAUGAUGUCACUAUGGCAACAAAAUAACUCACCUUAAAAUAAAAUGUGCA